AUGCAGAUCUUUGUCAAGACCCUCACAGGCAAGACUAUCACUCUUGAGGUCGAGAGUUCAGAUACCAUUGACAAUGUUAAAGCCAAGAUUCAGGACAAGGAGGGCAUUCCUCCGGACCAACAGAGGCUCAUAUUUGCUGGCAAGCAGCUAGAGGAUGGCCGAACAUUGGCUGAUUACAACAUCCAAAAGGAGUCUACCCUCCACCUUGUUCUCCGCCUGAGAGGUGGGAUGCAGAUCUUUGUGAAAACUCUUACCGGGAAGACCAUAACUCUAGAGGUUGAGAGUUCGGACACUAUCGACAAUGUCAAGGCAAAGAUCCAGGACAAGGAGGGCAUCCCACCAGACCAACAGAGGCUCAUCUUCGCUGGCAAGCAGCUUGAGGAUGGGCGCACAUUGGCUGAUUACAACAUUCAGAAGGAGUCUACCCUUCACCUAGUCCUCCGCCUCCGUGGUGGCAUGCAGAUAUUUGUCAAGACACUAACUGGAAAGACCAUCACUCUUGAAGUGGAGAGCUCCGACACCAUUGAUAAUGUGAAGGCCAAGAUCCAGGAUAAGGAAGGUAUCCCGCCUGACCAGCAGAGGCUCAUCUUUGCUGGAAAGCAGCUCGAGGAUGGGCGUACAUUGGCGGAUUACAAUAUCCAGAAGGAGUCUACUCUUCACUUGGUUCUCCGCCUACGUGGUGGCAUGCAGAUUUUUGUCAAGACGUUAACUGGAAAGACCAUUACUCUUGAGGUGGAGAGCUCCGACACCAUCGAUAAUGUGAAGGCAAAGAUCCAGGACAAGGAGGGAAUUCCUCCUGAUCAGCAGAGGCUUAUCUUUGCAGGGAAGCAGCUGGAGGAUGGGCGUACCUUGGCAGAUUAUAACAUCCAAAAAGAAUCCACUCUUCAUCUUGUCCUGCGCCUCCGUGGCGGCCUUUAA
This 918-nucleotide ribosomal RNA is filed under the name Triticum aestivum (bread wheat). RNAcentral describes it as "partial small subunit ribosomal RNA". The record is from RNAcentral. Lineage: Eukaryota; Viridiplantae; Streptophyta; Magnoliopsida; Poales; Poaceae.